This is a long non-coding RNA of Lacerta agilis (Sand lizard), 189 nucleotides long. RefSeq lists it as uncharacterized. The record is from RefSeq and is a predicted model, not a curated record. NCBI's taxonomy places the organism in Eukaryota, Metazoa, Chordata, Lepidosauria, Squamata, Lacertidae. The transcript is spliced from 3 exons.
UCUUUCUUUCAGGACAUAAAAAAUACCCUGAGCAGGUAUCAGGAGGGGCAACUGAGGCAGGUGGUGGAGCUUUCUCCAGGGCCUGAGGAGGGAUUCAGAAGUUUCUCUCAUAAAAGUCUGGUUCUCAAAAAGGUCAUGGAAGAAACUGAAGAGUCUUUGGAAGAAGCGCUGAGCAAAGGUAAUUUUGUG